AUCCAGCAGACGAGCCCCAAAUAGAACGAAAUGCGCAUCCUGGAU
RNAcentral lists this non-coding RNA (45 nucleotides) under Trichobilharzia regenti. The record is from RNAcentral. Lineage: Eukaryota; Metazoa; Platyhelminthes; Trematoda; Strigeidida; Schistosomatidae.